This 254-nucleotide ribosomal RNA is filed under the name uncultured bacterium. Its description in RNAcentral is "partial 16S ribosomal RNA". It matches the Rfam family "Bacterial small subunit ribosomal RNA", at positions 524 to 776 of the family's 1533-position model. The record is from RNAcentral.
UACGGGGGGAGCAAGCGUUGUUCGGAUUUACUGGGCGUAAAGGGCGCGUAGGCGGCCACCGCAAGUCGGUUGUGAAAUCUCUGGGCUUAACCCAGAAAGGUCAACCGAUACUGCGGGGCUAGAGUGCAGAAGGGGCAACUGGAAUUCUCGGUGUAGCGGUGAAAUGCGUAGAUAUCGAGAGGAACACCUGCGGCGAAGGCGGGUUGCUGGGCUGACACUGACGCUGAAGCGCGAAAGCUAGGGGAGCGAACCGG